Pan troglodytes (chimpanzee) is the source of this 156-nucleotide non-coding RNA. Lineage: Eukaryota; Metazoa; Chordata; Mammalia; Primates; Hominidae. The record is from Rfam.
GCAUGUGUGUGUGUGUGUUUUAGGAAAAUAAAUGCAAAAUUCAAUUUCAAAGGAAAAAUUUCCUGUAAGACUUUGCCAACUGAAAAUUUUGCUUCAUACAAGAGUAAUUCUAGUAGCAGCAGUAGAGAAGAUCAAGCCUGAUGAAAUGUUUUCUUU